This 482-nucleotide ribosomal RNA is filed under the name uncultured bacterium. RNAcentral describes it as "bacterial SSU rRNA". It matches the Rfam family "Bacterial small subunit ribosomal RNA", at positions 29 to 506 of the family's 1533-position model. The record is from RNAcentral.
UUGAACGCUGGCGGAAUGCUUUACACAUGCAAGUCGAGCGGCAGCGCGGGGGCAACCCUGGCGGCGAGCGGCGAACGGGUGAGUAAUGUAUCGGAACGUACCCUGUCGUGGGGGAUAACACAGCGAAAGCUGUGCUAAUACCGCAUACGACCUGAGGGUGAAAGCGGGGGAUCGCAAGACCUCGCGCGAUAGGAGCGGCCGAUAUCGGAUUAGCUUGUUGGUGAGGUAAAGGCUCACCAAGGCGACGAUCCGUAGCUGGUCUGAGAGGACGACCAGCCACACUGGAACUGAGACACGGUCCAGACUCCUACGGGAGGCAGCAGUGGGGAAUUUUGGACAAUGGGGGCAACCCUGAUCCAGCCAUUCCGCGUGAGUGAAGAAGGCCUUCGGGUUGUAAAGCUCUUUCGGACGGAAAGAAAACGCAUCGGUGAAUACCCGGUGUGGAUGACGGUACCGUAAGAAGAAGCACCGGCUAACUACGU